This 2631-nucleotide long non-coding RNA is filed under the name Vigna radiata. RNAcentral's name for it is "long non-coding RNA (VRAD_LNC005518)". Lineage: Eukaryota; Viridiplantae; Streptophyta; Magnoliopsida; Fabales; Fabaceae. The record is from RNAcentral.
UUUUUUAUUUUUAUUUAUAAAAGUAUAUUUAAAAAGGUAGAUAAAUAUUUAAAAUGGAGGCAAAAGAAAAAAAAGAAAGAAAAAGAAAAAUAAAAGAUAGAUAAAUAAAUAAUGAGAGUAACAUAAAAAGUAAAAGAUAAAAUAAAAAGUAAACUAAAAGGUAAAAGGAAAGGGUGUGGAGGUGCUUAAAUAAGAGAAGGGGUAUUCAAUCCCAAUUUAGUUCUAAUAACAGAUUGGGCCUAAGCCCAAGUAGCAAAAGGGGUGGUAAAAACGAAAAAUAGGGGUGUACAAACUAAAUUCAUUUCUGAAGGCAAGCCCAAUUCAAAAGGGGUGGUGAGAGCGAAAAUGGGGGUGUAGGAAGUUAACUAAUUUUUUAGUUGUCAGAAUGGGUUUGAGCCCAAAGAGAUGGGGACUGCGGAUGGAAGCAAAAGGGGGGUGCAGAGAACAAAUGAGCUCAAACCCAUUAUGCAGUGGCGCCAAUUAGUAGCCAUGGGGGUGCAGAAGCAAAACCAUUUUUCAGCCCAGGCCGGCCCAAGGUCCUAGGUCAGAAACCUUGUAGGGGUUCCUCAUUUCAUUUUUCACACACUCACAUCUGAGACAGAGAGUCCCUCCCAACACCCUCGAGCUCUCCUCCCCCAGGCGGAGGCGCCGCCAUCCUCUGCCCUAACCAGUCACUGCUCCGCCGUAGAAAGUGUCGCCGGCGACCACCUUCCAAAACGUCAAAGCCUUCGCGCUACAGCGACAUCCGACGCGAACACCAUCGUCGCGCGUCUCUCAGCCCAGCCUAGGGCUGGGGUUUUUUAGCCUUGGACGACGCAAGCUGCCGCUCCCCUUCGGCCAGCCACCACCGCGAACCACCGCCGCUCUCAAAACGCCCGCGAUCGCCCCACGAGGCCACCACCGGUGACAGCAGCGCCAGCCAUGAACCGAAAAACUCCCUCAGCCAAAACUCCCUCACCGCGACCCUCACACAUAAGAGAUUUAGGAAACCAAGAUUGAGUGAUCUUCCUCUUCCCGCCGGCAAAGCCAAGCCAGCCACUUCUACUAUUCUGUUUCUGAAUGGAUUCGAAUGGGAAUGAUAGGGAUUUGGGGUUGAAUCUGAUUUGGCUGGUUCUUCUUCCCCUUUUUUUUGGUUUUAUUUUUGUGACUUUGUGUAAUGCUGAUUGAGGGUGAUGGCGUUAUGCUUGAGUUGGAAUGGUGGCGGUUGAUGGUAGAAGGAUAGUGGUGAAGAAGGUUUGCGUGAUUUGAGUCAGCAACGUGCCAUGGUGUUGAUAUGUUUGUGUUUUGGUGAUCUUGGAUUUCUGUUAGGGUGGUCAGUCAGGGGUUGGUUUUGUGCGUGUGGGUGUAUUGAGAAUGAUGGGUUCGAGUGUCUCGCUGCAGGGGUCAAUGGGAAAAGGGUGAGGAGUUCAGGGUGGAAUAUUGGCUGGUUCCUAUUCCUACGGCUUUGUGUUGUGCAGGUUGAAGACGCAGGUUGAGGAUGAUGGUGUUGAUGAAAAGUUCAAGGAGUGGAGAUUUUUAACGGGUGAAUGGAAUGGUUCGAAGGUGAUGGUGGAUGAAGCCGUGGUGGUAUCCCCUGUGUUAGGGGUUAUACGUAUAGGUCCGGAAGAGAAUAGAAUGGUGAUGACGUUGUGGCCAAGAGAAAUGCGAUGAAGAGGCACCGUGAACAACUCAGGGAAACUGGGUUAUCCUUUCUUUGUAGAUGAACUGGAUCAAAGUUUGGGACAAACGUAAUGUUUUCUGGGUGUUGGCUUUGAAUCUUGGCUUUGUUUCGGUUGCAGGUCACACGACAAUGGUGGAUUGGCCAUUAGUGUCAUCGGGGGGAAGAGUGAUAGCUACACAGUAGCUAAAAGGAGUGUGAUGAAAAUGGUGAUAGGGUUCAGCGAAUGACUCGAAGAGGUUGGGCUAGUUUUUUUUGCUCGGUUGUUGACCUCAUUGGACAUAGGCGACGAAGGAGAAACAGAGGAUACCAAGGACAAUGAUAAAAGGAAGGAUUCAAGUCACAGGAUCAUACACAUACACAGCAUAAUCGAUAAAAAUCUCUGUAACAGUCACAGCAAGCAAUAGCGGCAAUGCAACAGUAAGAUAUUCAAGGGCAAGAACAUAGAGUACAAGGAGCCAUUACUUACCUCUUGAAGACUCGAUUGUCAAUGCCAACCUUGCUUGUCCGAUGGGUCUCCUUAUCCUUCCUAGUGCAGUUCCACCAAUUGCUCUCGGAGCUCCUAUUCUCCUUUGUAGAAUGAAUGCUCACGAUACCACCGUCCUCUCUCUGGGUAACUUGGUUUUCUUUGCUUGUGAUUGUAACAAUGAUCUCUCUCUGAUGUUUUGUUGCUCUCUUUUGGCCACCUCCGCCUGCCACUUUUUCAGUAACGAUUUACCCUCUUGCUCUCUGCUCUGCCAAAUUCCCAAAACCUCUGCCAUGUUCCCCCACAAACCACUUUGUCUCCUCUGAACAAAAAAAAAAAAAAAACCGUUCUCCUUCUCGUUUUGCACACAUGGCUUUUUUUCUUUUCUUUUUAUUUAUUUUUUUUAUUAUUUUUUUUAUUUAUUAUUUUUUUUAAAACAAGAUAAAAUAUAAGAAAGAUAAAACUUAAAAAAACGAAAAUUAAAAAUUGUAAAGGGAAAAACAAAAAU